RNAcentral lists this RNase P RNA (338 nucleotides) under candidate division CSSED10-310 bacterium. RNAcentral's name for it is "partial RNase P RNA component class A". It matches the Rfam family "Bacterial RNase P class A", at positions 42 to 367 of the family's 367-position model. Rfam says of the family: Ribonuclease P (RNase P) is a ubiquitous endoribonuclease, found in archaea, bacteria and eukarya as well as chloroplasts and mitochondria. Its best characterised activity is the generation of mature 5'-ends of tRNAs by cleaving the 5'-leader elements of precursor-tRNAs. The record is from RNAcentral. Lineage: Bacteria; candidate division CSSED10-310.
GGAGGAAAGUCCGGGCUCCAUAGGGCAGGAUGCCGGGUAACGCCCGGGGGGAGUGAUCCCAUGGAAAGUGCAACAGAGAGCAAACCGCCGAUGGCUCGGUUUCCGGGCACAGGCAAGGGUGAAACGGUGAGGUAAGAGCUCACCAGCGGUUCGGGUAACCGGAUCGGCUCGGUAAACCCCAUCCGGAGCAAGACCAAAUAGGGAAGCGUUUGAGGGCGGCCCGCCCAAUGCUUCCGGGUAGGUUGCUAGAGGUGCCGGGUAACCGGUACCCAAGAUGAAUGGCUGCCGCCGCCGGAGGCCCGGCGGAACAGAACCCGGCUUAUAGACCGACUCCGCUU